GUGGGAGAGGCUUAGUGGUUUGGCGUGAGAUUGCAACGUAUCUUUUCCAUUGAAGAACGGCGCCACUUGGAAAAAUCUUGAGGUCGUGGGUUCGAUUCCCACCUUCCACU
Molecule: transfer RNA, 110 nt
Filed under: Sporisorium scitamineum
Lineage: Eukaryota; Fungi; Basidiomycota; Ustilaginomycetes; Ustilaginales; Ustilaginaceae
Description: transfer RNA-Cys(GCA)
Rfam family: tRNA
About the family: Transfer RNA (tRNA) molecules are approximately 80 nucleotides in length. Their secondary structure includes four short double-helical elements and three loops (D, anti-codon, and T loops). Further hydrogen bonds mediate the characteristic L-shaped molecular structure. tRNAs have two regions of fundamental functional importance: the anti-codon, which is responsible for specific mRNA codon recognition, and the 3' end, to which the tRNAs corresponding amino acid is attached (by aminoacyl-tRNA synthetases). tRNAs cope with the degeneracy of the genetic code in two manners: having more than one tRNA (with a specific anti-codon) for a particular amino acid; and 'wobble' base-pairing, i.e. permitting non-standard base-pairing at the 3rd anti-codon position.
Source: RNAcentral